AUUUUAUGGAAAGCCACAGGGGACCCCCAAGUCAUGUUCUAUAUAUUCAUAGUAAUUCAAUCUUGGGCGGUCAUGUUUACCAUCCCGGCCAAGUCAUGAUCGGCCACACGGGACCCCCAAGUCAUGUUCUAUAUAUUCAUAGUAAAUCAAUCUUGGGCGGUCAUGUUCUAUAUAUUCAUAGUAAUUCAAUCUUGGGCGGUCAUGUUCUAUAUAUUCAUAGUAAUUCAAUCUUGGGCGGUCAUGUUCUAUAUAUUCAUAGUAAUUCAAUCUUGGGCGGUCAUGUUCUAUAUAUUCAUAGUAAUUCAAUCUAGGGUGGUCAUGUUCUAUAUAUUCAUAGUAAUUCAAUCUUGGGCGGUCAUGUUCUAUAUAUUCAUAGUAAUUCAAUCUUGGGUGGUCAUGUUCUAUAUAUUCAUAGAAAUUCAAUCUUGGGCAGUCGUGUUUACAAUCCCGGCUAAGUCAUGAUCGGCCACACGGGACCCCCAAAUCAUGUUCUAUAUAUUCAUAGUAAUUUCAAUCGGUCAUGUUAUGAUUGCAAAUCUGACCAAGUCAGGUUUGGUUUGAUAGCAUAACAUGGCCUUCUUAUCUUUGCCGGUCAUGAUUUGACAACCCUUGCCUAGUCAAGAUAUAUCCCAUGUUUUACAUCUUGACUAGGCCAUGAUUUUCUAUCCCAAGAUUGCAUUGGCCAAGAUACAUUACUUCCAAACGCAGUCAAGAUUUACUUCCCAAGAUUUUAUAGGACCGAGAUUCGGCCAAGAUAGCAUUGCGCCUAGAUACAUUACUUCCAAACGAAGUCAAGAUUCGCUUCCCAAGAUUUCAAAAGACAAAGACUAAUUUCCCAAGAUUUCAAAAGAUCAGGAUUUACUUCCCAAGACGAAAAUCCGCUAAAAACUCCCAGCUAACAGUGACAAAAUAACUACUAGGUUGCAGUGACUUAGGUUGUACUUCAUCAACAACAAAACUCCAGAUCCAUGGCGUAUAUACAAUAUACAAUUCAUACAAUUUUAAGAUUGGUUAUAGAUCUACAGUAUCUCAGAUCGACACAUGCUGACUGGAGAGCGCUAUAAUCGGACCCCGGACUGUGGCUUGAGACGAUGACUGGAGUCUAUGGCUAUAGGAACCAUUUUGCAGUAAUUAAGAAUGUGCAGGAGAAAGUGGUACACUUCAUUUCAAUCGCAUCCUUCGACAAGUGAAAAUCCAUGGUCUACCUGGAAUAAGUUUAUUUGGCGCCAAGACAACCUUUUUCCAAGGUCAGAGAUCAGGGGCCAGAACUGAUGUCAGUUGAAAAGACACCACAUUGGGUCAAAGAUCAAAGGCCAGAAUUGGUGUCAGCUGGAAAGAUACCACAUUGUGUAUUGGAUUUGCAAGAUAUUUAAUCAAUGCACCAGUUUCAAGUUCAAAGUAUCAUCAAGGCCUACUUCAUGAAAUGCUGAAUAUGUCAUCAACCUUCAGUUAUACCAAAAGCUGAAUCCAGAUGAGGACAGUCUUAAUGGGUCAUACAGAAAAGGACUCAACAGGAAUAGUUAUUGAAUUUCAAGUUUAGAGAUUUUUGCAGUAAAUGAAGCCUUUACCAGUUGCAGAAGCUUAGGCUAUCCUUUGAGAGGGUGUUUGGCCUACAGAGAUAUUGACAAUUAAUUUUAAAAAAAGAAAACCUUUAUUGAUUUUUUCCCAAAAAUUCAGCUCAGAUGAGCUGUUAAGCUCAAGAGAAUUUUUAGCUCACCUGAGCUGAAAGGUCCUAAGACCAUAAACUUAGAGCAAACUUAAAAUUUCAAAGGGAUAUAAUUAGUUCUACUUGUCAGAGACCAUAAGAGAUUAUGCGAUAUUAAGGCAUCAGUUGUCCGUCUGUCUAGUUGUCCACCUGUACGAAACAGUUUUUAGCUCACCUGAGCCGAAGGCUCAAGUGAACUAUUCUGAUCAAAAUUUGUCCGUCGUCUGUCGUUGUUGUUGUCGUUGUCAUAAACUUUUCACAUUUUUAUCUUCUUCUCAAGAACCACUGGGCCAAUUUCAACCAAACUUGCCACAAAGUAUCCUUGGGUGAAGGGAAUUCAAGUUUGUUCAAAUGAAGGGCCAAGCCCUCUUCAAAGAGGAAAUAAUUAUGAAUUAGUGAAAAAUUAUUGGCAUUUUAAAAAAAUCUUCUUCUCAAGAACCACUGGGCCAGGAAAGAUGAAACUCAUGUGGAAUCAUCCUCAGGUAGUGUAGAUUCAAGUUUCUUCAAAGCAUGACCCCCGGGGAUAGGGUCGGGCAACAAUGGCCGACCAAAAUUUUACAAAGGAAUAUAUAAAAUCAUUAAAAAUCUUCUUCUCAAGAAUAACAAAGCCAUGAAUGGUCAUAUUCAUAUGGAAGCAUCUUCAGGUAGUGUAUAUGCAAGUUUGUUCAAAUCAUGACCCCGGGGGGUAGGGUGGGGCCAAUAUGUCCGACCAAAGUUUUACAUAGGAAUAUAUAGGAAAAAUCUUUAAAAAUCUUCUUCUGAAGAACCACUGGGCGAGGAAAGAUGUAACUCAUGUGGAAUCAUCCUCAGGUAGUGUAGAUUCAAGUUUGUUCAAAUCAUGACCCCCAGGGGCAGGGUGGGACCAAAAUGGCCAAUCAAAGUUUUACAUAGGAAUAUAUAAGAAAAAUCUUUAAAAAUCUUCUUCUCAAGAACCACUGGGCCAGGAAAGAAGAAACUUAUGUGGAAUCAUCCUCAGGUAUUGUAGAUUCAAGUUUGUUCAAAUCAUGACCCCGGGGUAGGGUGGGGCCAAAAUGGCCGACAAAAGUUUUACAUAGGAAUAUAUAGGGAAACCUUUUAAAAUUUUCUUUUCAAGUACAACAAAGCCAUGAUUAGUAAUAUUUAUAUGAAAUCAUAAUGGUAGUGCAGAAUCUAGUUUGUUCAAAUCAUGAUCCCCUGGGGGGAGGGGGGAUGGUAAAAUUCAAGCUCCCCCCCCCUCCCAACCUCAGUAAACUUUCAGUUCUGAUCUGAUAUGUGCUUUUUCAAAGUUGAUGUGCUCAGGUGAGCACUGUGGCCCCUGGGCCUCUUGUUCAAAAUGCCACUCCUCCUACAGUUUUAAUCUGAUUUCAAUUUAACUUGGAACACAGGUAGGCUAUACUAAGAUACAUAGUUUAGUGCAUCAGUUUUUCUUUUCAGUGAACAGUGCUGCCAAGGUAAUACUAAAAAAAAUUUCUGUGAAAUUUUCUUCAAAAUGCUACUCUUCCUACAAUUUUGGUCUGUUUUCACUUUUCAGUAUAACUUAGCACUUAAGUAGACUAAACCAAGAUACAUGAUUUAGUGCAUCAAUUUUUGAUUUCGAUGAACAGUGUUGCCAUGGUAACUAAAAAUCAAAUUUUCUGUGAAAUUCCUUUAAAAAGAACUCCUUCAAUUUUUGUUUGAUUUCAAUAUAAUUUGGCACACAAUAUGCACAAGUACACUAUACAAAGAUACAUAAUUCUAUUUAUUUUUGCCCUUUGAAAAGUCAAACCACCUAAGUGCCACUUUUCCUUUUAUACACAUACAGACCAGUAGAUCUACAGUCUUAUCAGAGACUUCUAGAUUUUGAAAAAAAUAUUUGAAAACAAAGCAAAAUUUUUACCAUAUGUAUAAAUUGGAAUAUUUAUACAAACCUGCACAUUUUUGAUAAUGAAUAUGUAAUAAAUGAAAAGUUAUUCAUGAGAUCAAAAUUGAAAUUUUGACUUAAGUCUGUAUUAGUCUCCAGGCAUAAAGUGAGCUUUUCUGAUCAUCUAUCUCUUGUUCGUUCGUCUCUCCAUUCCUCUGUAUGUAAAGUUUUCACAUUUUCAACUUCUUCGCAAAAGAUUCACUUUGCUAAUUUAAGAAAAUAUCCUUGUGUAAAAUGAAAUUAAAAUUCUUAAACUAAAGGGCCAAGUACCCUUGUAGGGAGAAAUUAUCAGAAAAAAAAAGACAAGAAUAGGGUUGGGUCAUAUAAAAACCUUCUUUUCAAGAACCACUAACCCAGAAAAGCUGAAACUUAUGUGAACGAACUCUUGUGAAAUCAUGAACCCUGGGAAAGGGGCAGGGCCACAAUGGGUAUACUCUGGUGUGGAAAUCUGAUAAAGAACAGCAUGCCCAAAGUACACAGAUGAGUGAUGUGGCCUUGGGCCUCGUGUUCUGAUUAAUAUCCAUUGUUAGUCU
Saccostrea cuccullata (small rock oyster) is the source of this 4117-nucleotide long non-coding RNA. RefSeq lists it as uncharacterized. The record is from RefSeq and is a predicted model, not a curated record. Lineage: Eukaryota; Metazoa; Mollusca; Bivalvia; Ostreida; Ostreidae. The transcript has 6 exons.